GACACAGAAGGAUAGGGAAUCGCACGAAUGGAAAUGUGCGUCCAAGCAGUGAGUGUGAGAAGUAGGCAAAUCCGCUUCUCGCGAAGCAUGAGCUGUGAUGGGGAAGGAAAUUAAGUACGGAAGUUCCUGAUUUCACGCUGUCAAGAAAAGCCUCUAGGAAGAGUAGUACUGCCCGUACCGCAAACCGACACAGGUAGAUGAGGAGAGAAUCCUAAGGUGAGCGAGAGAACUCUCGUUAAGGAACUCGGCAAAAUGACCCCGUAACUUCGGGAGAAGGGGUGCUCUAUUAGGGUGCAAGCCCGAGAGAGCCGCAGUGAAUAGGCCCAGGCGACUGUUUAGCAAAAACACAGGUCUCUGCAAAACCGUAAGGUGACGUAUAGGGGCUGACGCCUGCCCGGUGCUGGAAGGUUAAGAGGAGUGCUUAGCUUCGGCGAAGGUACGAAUUGAAGCCCCAGUAAACGGCGGCCGUAACUAUAACGGUCCUAAGGUAGCGAAAUUCCUUGUCGGGUAAGUUCCGACCCGCACGAAAGGCGCAACGAUCUGGGCACUGUCUCAACGAGAGACUCGGUGAAAUUAUAGUACCUGUGAAGAUGCAGGUUACCCGCGACAGGACGGAAAG
Molecule: ribosomal RNA, 619 nt
Filed under: Listeria monocytogenes
Lineage: Bacteria; Bacillati; Bacillota; Bacilli; Caryophanales; Listeriaceae
Description: bacterial LSU rRNA
Rfam family: Bacterial large subunit ribosomal RNA
Source: RNAcentral